RNAcentral lists this ribosomal RNA (253 nucleotides) under uncultured bacterium. RNAcentral's name for it is "partial 16S ribosomal RNA". It matches the Rfam family "Bacterial small subunit ribosomal RNA", at positions 524 to 776 of the family's 1533-position model. The record is from RNAcentral.
UACGUAGGGUGCAAGCGUUGUCCGGAAUUAUUGAGCGUAAAGAGCUCGUAGGCGGUCUGUCGCGUCUGCUGUGAAAACUCAGGGCUUAACCCUGAGCUUGCAGUGGGUACGGGCAGACUAGAGUGCGGUAGGGGAGACUGGAAUUCCUGGUGUAGCGGUGAAAUGCGCAGAUAUCAGGAGGAACACCGGUGGCGAAGGCGGGUCUCUGGGCAGUAACUGACGCUGAGGAGCGAAAGCGUGGGGAGCGAACAGG